UUCCGAAUUUUGAACCUCCCCGUCCGCGAAGCUCGCUCGCCCCUCUCUCUCUCUCUCUCUCUCUCUCUCUUUCUCUCGACUCCGAUUUGCCCGUUGGUUUCAAAUUCAAAAACCCUCGCCUUCCUCUUCCUCCGCCUCCUCCUCCUCAAAACCCUAACCCUAAUCCUAACCCAAGCUCGGAUAUGAGCGCCGCCCCUCCUCCCAGCAGCGGGAGGGAGCUCGCCAACCCUCCCUCCGACGGGAUCUCCAACCUGCGCUUCUCCAACCACAGCGACCACCUCCUCGUCUCCUCUUGGGACAAGACGGUUCGGCUCUACGACGCCGGCGCGAACGUACUCAAAGGUGAGUUCGUGCACGGGGGGCCGGUUCUCGACUGCUGCUUCCAUGAUGAUUCCUCUGGGUUCAGUGCUUGCGCCGAUCACACGGUUCGCAGGUAUGUCUUUAGUUCUGGCAAGGAGGAUAUUUUGGGACGACAUGAUGCUCCCGUCCGUUGUGUAGAGUAUUCUUAUGCUGCAGGCCAAGUGAUCACGGGCAGUUGGGAUAAGACAUUGAAGUGCUGGGACCCUAGAGGUGCAAGCGGGCCAGAUCGCACACUUGUUGGAACAUACCAACAACCAGAACGCGUGUAUUCCCUUUCUCUUGUUGGUCAUCACUUGGUUGUUGCAACAGCAGGGCGGCGAGUAAAUGUCUAUGAUCUACGAAACAUGUCCCAACCUGAGCAAAGGAGGGAGUCUUCUUUAAAAUACCAAACCAGAUGUGUUCGUUGCUAUCCUAAUGGGACAGGUUUCGCGCUCAGUUCUGUGGAAGGAAGGGUUGCUAUGGAAUUCUUUGAUUUAUCUGAGGCUGGUCAAGCUAAAAAAUAUGCUUUCAAAUGCCACCGGAAAUCCGAGGCAGGGAGGGACACUGUUUACCCAGUCAAUGCAAUUGCCUUCCAUCCCAUCUACGGGACAUUUGCAACCGGUGGAUGUGACGGUUAUGUGAAUGUGUGGGAUGGUAACAACAAGAAAAGACUAUAUCAGUAUUCAAAAUAUCCGACGAGCAUUGCUGCACUGUCCUUCAGCAGAGAUGGCCGUCUGCUUGCAGUGGCUUCGAGCUACACUUUCGAAGAGGGAGAUAUGCCGCAUGAGCCUGAUGCGAUCUUUGUGCGGAGUGUUAAUGAAGUCGAAGUCAAGCCGAAGCCUAAAGCAUUGCCGACACCCCCUCCCUAGUAGAUUUUACUCGGAAACCGUGCUGCAAUAGUAUAAUGUAGCUCGGCUAAGAAGGUGAAGAUGAUUUCUUAGCGUUCUGUAGUUGUUGAGAAAAGGUGAAAUCGUAAGGGCCUUCUCCGAAGCAUCAUGAGCGCAUUUUGAAACAAUUACACGAACUUUGAAAAUUUUUACUUUACUACCUAACCUUGAUUAUUUACGAAAUACCCCAUCUGAUAAAUCUACUAAAGUCGGGUAGUAUAAUAAAUGACUUUCAAAGCUUAGGUACUUAUUUCAAAAUGCGCUACGCCGCAGGUAAGGUCUAGACUUUUUUUAUCUUGUUUAGAACAUAAAUGUGGUGUCCAUGUAUGUAGUUUAACUUGUCGAUGUUUAAAAUCCCUCUUUUAGGCUUUGCUUCUGCUGUUGUAACUAAGGUGACAGCUUCUUAAGACGCAGAACUUUCGGAAAACUGAGAACAAACUUUUAUAACUCGAUCUGCAAUUGUAGUUCCUUAUCCUGAUUAAACUGUUCCGCGCAGCUUGGAAAUUGUGUAAAUUUUUUGGAUUAUAUUGGUUUGCAGAUUAAAUAGAGCUUAUGCUGGCUUCUUGUUUAGCUUUUU
Molecule: RNA transcript, 1803 nt
Organism: Ananas comosus (pineapple)
Lineage: Eukaryota; Viridiplantae; Streptophyta; Magnoliopsida; Poales; Bromeliaceae
Gene name: mitotic checkpoint protein BUB3.1
Exons: 10
Source: RefSeq, a predicted model, not a curated record